GGCCUACUAGCGCAGUCGGAAGCGUGCCCGUGCCAUCUAUCCAUGGUGGAAGUGACUUACGGGAGAUCCCGGGUUCGAACCCGGGACAGGUCA
Molecule: non-coding RNA, 93 nt
Organism: Mycena rebaudengoi
Lineage: Eukaryota; Fungi; Basidiomycota; Agaricomycetes; Agaricales; Mycenaceae
Source: the annotation of a GenBank genome assembly